AUAUAAAGGCAAACCUGUUGAAAGACAGGGACGCAAAGCCAAGGGUCUAAGGUCACAGAAAAUUACAGUUAAAUGACUAUGACAGCCGGUUGCCGC
RNAcentral lists this non-coding RNA (96 nucleotides) under uncultured Blautia sp. RNAcentral describes it as "Cyclic di-GMP-I riboswitch". It matches the Rfam family "c-di-GMP-I riboswitch aptamer". From Rfam's summary of the family: GEMM was predicted in a large-scale screen for bacterial structured RNA regulatory elements. Genes associated with GEMM are involved in a diverse array of functions, including chemotaxis regulation, signal transduction, secretion and chitin. Lineage: Bacteria; Bacillati; Bacillota; Clostridia; Lachnospirales; Lachnospiraceae. The record is from RNAcentral.